This 8079-nucleotide unclassified non-coding RNA is filed under the name Diabrotica virgifera virgifera (western corn rootworm). RNAcentral's name for it is "mucin-17-like". Lineage: Eukaryota; Metazoa; Arthropoda; Insecta; Coleoptera; Chrysomelidae. The record is from RNAcentral.
AUCGAUAUCCAUAGCGGCGUAAGGUACCAACAGCAAGAACCAGCAGCGUAACCGACUUCUUGGAGGGGCACCAGGUGUCCAAGUAAGAGAAAGGCCACCGAUUCUGACCGGUGAGAGGGAAACUGAUACAUUUUUUUUUCGUUGGCUUGUAUCGCGAAAAUUUUGAAUUAUUCGACUCAUUCUGUCAUACUGUCGUGCGCGAUAUCCUGCUCUUGUCUCCGUUGCAGUGCCAGGGGAUUUACGGAUAUUUUUAUUGGUAUCGUACAGCGGGGUGACCGGUGGUGCAGUUGAUAAAGUGUUAAAUUGGAAUCCAAUUUUGGAUAAUUCGUGGAUUUUAGUUGUUUAAAAGGCUAUGGGUUCUAAGCCUAUCAGAAUACUCUAGUCUCCAAGCAAUCAACAACUAAUGCAACUACCGACAUGAAGAUGAAACUUCUUCCACUAUUUCUCCUGUUCUUUUUCAUCCUGUUGACUCAGGCGCAACGAAGGACAACUGCUAAAACCAGUACAGAGCCUAGCACAACAAGAUCGUCCGUAUCACGAGGAAGAGGUCGAUCUAGAUUUGUAACUUCAGUUGAAUACCAAAACGUUAGGGAAACUUCAUCUACUCCAGAAAGCGUCCCCAGAAAGACUGUAACAUCUAGGAGACGAGUUGUAGAAAAUGUUGAGCAACGAUUUCCUUCUCGAUCCGUAUCUACUCCUUCUCCAACUCCUUCUAAGCCAGCUAUUACGUUUACUGUAAACUCAGAAAGAAGAGCCCUGGCUCCAACAUUUGGAGAUACUGUGGAAAAAAUAUUUACAGUGAAUGAAUCUCCAAUUAAGAGAACUUCUAAACCUGCGGCUGUACCACAAAUUUCAGCUAGAAGAACACCCAAACCUUUAACUGAUUAUGUAGAACGGAAAAAUUUUAAAUCAACAAAAAAUACUUACGAAGUUCAAGAAGUUAUUAACGAAGAUUUUGAAUUGGUAAGAAGGGUAAAAAAACCACGGGUACUAAUAGAAAGUACUAAUAAUCAAGUGUCUGUUCCGUUAAGGAGUAUAGAUAGAAAAGAAUUUUUUAGAACAGGAAGUGUUUCUAGAAGAAAUCAAGAAAAUGCAGAUUCAGUACUCGCUACGAAAUUUCCAAAACGUACAAAAGAUACCCAAGAGGGAGUGCUAAAUUUUCCACCGCGCAAAUUAGAAAAUCUAGAACCGCCCAAAUCAACAACCUCGGAAGCACCUGUAAGUGAGGAACCAAUCAACAAUAUUUCUAAUGGUAACCUCCUUGAAGAGCAACCUUUGGAUACGACGCUUGUCCCGGUAGAGUUUGAAUCUUCUCCAGAUCCUCUACAAGCAGAGGAGGUGAAGGAGGAGCUUACUAAUGUUAAUUUAGUUUCCUCAACUUCAAAGCCAAUAGAGGAACCUAGAUCCUCCGCUAACCGAAGAAACGGGUUAAGGAAAAAUACCAACGUUAUUGAACAGUCUACAGCUGCUCCCAGGUUUAGAACUAGAGGUAGAAGUAGUCCAGCCGCUCAAGCAGAGCAGUCCAGUCGUGCACCUGAAUUUAACUUUCAAUCAGUUACGCCAACAGCUACUCCUAACCGCGGGUUUAGGAGACGACUUGAUACAAUAACAGAACCAAGAAAAGGCCCGUCAGUAUUUUCCGCAGAAACACAAUUUCCAGAAUCUCGAUCUAGAACUGGACGAAAAAUUGAUCUACCUACACCUGAAAAACUUACAUUAGAAAUACCCACACGUAAUCGUCGAAGAACAACAACACCUAAAAUCAAUAAAGAAUCCUCAAUGCCCACCUUUCCAUCAAGAAAUCGCUUUCGAUCCAGAGAAAUGCCUAUAAUAGACGAACAGAAACUAGAAGUACUACCUCUGUUUGAAGUAGAACCCAAAUUGGUCAACACACGUGUCAUGAAUAGGGCAGAUGUUGUUUUUCAACCUAAAAAGAGUAAAGAUAAAGAUGAGCUAAUGACAAGAAAGAUAAACGAUAUUGAUGCGAGAUCUCGACGAAGGGGAGGAUUAGAACUCAUUCAAGCAAGUUCUACUGAAAUAAAAUCAACAGAAAUUCCAGCAAGGUCUAGAGUAGCAGUAAGUGUCAGUGUAGAAACCAGGACAGAAUCCUCGGUAAGGCGUUCUAUACCUAACAGGAGGUCUGAAGUUAAAGAAUCAGUUGUAUCGGAAAUAAAUGAAGUCACUUCUCGUAAAAAGGUAUCACGGAAGAAAGUAAAUUCCAACAGUUCAAACGAAAUUAAAAUAAAACCUCUUCCGGUGUACAGAGGAAGCAAGAAAUCCGAUGUUGUAGUUAAAAAAGGAAGUUCUGAAGAAGUUGAUGAGUCUGAUAAUUAUCCAGAAGCGUUCAAGGCUCUAAUUAAAUCCAAAAAGGAGUCAAGACCAGUGCCUUCUUCAUUACCACUUAGAGCCAGCAAUGUCGUGACUUCGGUACCAUCGUUUAGUACCACGUUUCAUCCAUCAACUUUUAAAGAGGUAACCGAUAGUGACAACGAAAUAAAACCUAAAGCUUUACCCACGUCAACUUCUUCACGAUGGAACCGAAGUAGAUCUACAACCACCUCUUCUGUUAAACUAUCAGAGCCCUUACCGCCAAAACGUUUUCCUUCCAGAACCUCACCAUACACUACUUCAGAGCCUAUUUCCGAAAAACGGUUUCCUUCACGAACCACACCAUCUGUAUCUAUUUCCACCACUCCCAUUUAUAGAGGGACGAAGCUAAGAACAUUAACACCAAGAACCUUUAGUGCACCUCCAAAACUAGAGAAAUCAGUAUCGUUCAAACCUAGAAGCUCCGUCGCUGAGAAGAAUAUAGAGAUUAAACAGUUUAAUAGGAACAGGAAUGCUAAGAGAGCUGAAAAUCCUGUUUUAUUGUCUACUAAGGUACCGAAAUAUACAACCACUGCUAAAAAGCUUGACCGUGGUAAAUACAGAAGUGAAUACUCAAGCAGGGGUUCUACUACCACAGCGCCCAAGUAUAUUCCAACCAUUCCCUCGGUGCCAUAUAUACCGACAAUUCCUGCUAUCACUCCUGUAAGAACUAUGGUCGAUACAUCUAACCAAAAGGACCACGACGAUGGAAUCCACGUAAUAUCUAUCGAUGAACCUGUUAAUGCCCUUCAGUCAGCAAAUCUUGUCAAGGGGGAUUUUGUAUCCUCAACUGCUAACUCCGUUUCUGAUAUUUUGCCAUUGGUUAAUGAUGGCACCACCGAAAAGACAGUCUCCAUUAUUGAACGAAUAAUAAAUUCAAUCAGCGCAAGAUCCACCACCCCGCCAUCUUCGGGCACCCCUUUUAGUAGUACAGCAUCGACAACAGAAUCCCCAUCAGCGAUAUUAAAAUUAUCGCCAAAAAAAUCUAGACAGACUGAUUUAACAGAUUCGUCAAAAACAACAGAAUCUAAUGACACCGUUCCGUUUACAACGGAAAAUCCCACGACAAUAAUAGAGAAGAUAUUAAGUUCCCUUAAUGCUAUUCAAGCUACAGAUAUUACGAGUGCCGGGCAAGUAGGUAUCGAUUUCAAUACUUUGACCUCUUUCACUACCACGCCUGUAUCUAGUGUGACUAAGUCUUCCACUAGCAGACCACUUCUUGCACCUAGUAGCACUACAAUCUUUCCACUUAGUAUUUUAGAUGAACUUUCUGAGGAAAAUAAGCAGAAAGAAACUGUACGUAAAUUGUUGGAUCUCUUAAAUGGUUUGGUAUCACCGCAACAACAAGAAGUUGUUGUUACUCCAAAAUAUGUAAAUAAUAGAACUCCUGGUAGAGGACCUUUUGUUUCUACUACUUUCUUUCCUUUAUCAACUGCAUCUCCUGAGUUGACUACUGCACCCACUGUCUCAUCUUCCACUAGCACUGAACAGAUAUCUUCUAAUUUUAUUUUAUCUGAAAAUACUUCUCCUCAAAUUGUUUCUGAAAUACCUAAUACAACUGAAACAACAGUUACCAUCUCCACUUCCACUGAAGUAAUUCCUACAGUUGAUUCUCAAUCUACUACAUCUUUGGAAGAAUUAGCAUCUACAGAAAGUGCAACAUCAAAUACGGAGAUUGUUAAUAGUUCUGUAAAUACUAUAAUAGAAAAUAUUGCUACUAAUAGCGAUUCUCCUUCUACUAUUGGAACUACUACAGAAAACUUUACUCCAUCGAUUCCUGCUGGCACUGAAUUCGGUACUAUCCCUAUAGACGUUAGUAGUUUCUUUACUACAUUCACCACGCCAUCUUCUUUCCAAAGAUUUGAAGUGAGUCCUGGAAGUGUUUCUGUUUUUUCUGCUAACGACCUUUCUCUUAACACAGUAACAUUAGAAGAUAUUAUUUCCACUACUGUAGUAAAUAUAGCUGGUAGAUCCAAUUUUGAUAACGCAGCUACUACUACAAGUGCCACUACUAAAGAAGCUACUAAAGAAAAUACAUUAGAGAUCACAACUGUGGGAAUAACUACUGAACCUUCACCUCAAACCAGCAGUGAUUCUAUGUCAACUAGUACUGAAAUUGUAAAUAGUAGUAAUUCUACGUCAAGUAUUACUGAAACUGUGAACUCUACUGAUCCUAUGUCUAGUAGUACUGAAACUUUGAGUAGUAGUGGUCCUAUGUCAAGUAGUACUGAAUCUAUGAGUAGUGGUUCUAUGUCAAAUAGUACUGAUGCUUUGAACAGUAGUGGGUAUAUGUCAAGUAGUACUGAAACUGUAAAUAACACUCAAACUAAUGGUACCAGAUCCAGUAAAAAACUAAAUUUCAUUCAAGAACCUGUACAGAAUAGAAUCGAUACAUCAACUCCUGACUACUUCAUCUUUGCUGUACUUAACAAUAACACUAUCUUACGUAAGAGGCCAAAGGUAGAACCUAAUGCUCCAUUUUAUGUUAUUGGUGUGUAUCCUAACAACACUGUCGUAAAGAAAUUCCCAAAUGGAACUGAGGUUCCCAUGGAUAUGAUAAUAAGGGUAAGGGGAUUCGAUACACGUGAAAACCCUCCACCUUUGCCAGAAAUAACCAGUAACCAAGUAACAAGCGACCUUGGAAGCUCCCCGGAAAAUAUAAAUAUAAACACGGAUGAUCAGAAUACUAUUCCUUCUGUAGAUGUGAAAUCAAAUAGAGUAGCUGCCAGCACAACUCAAGCGACUACCUCCUCUACAAAAGCACAAACUACCAUAACCCAAUCUCCUAUUACCACUACAGAAGCGAAAAGUAGAACUACUUUGUCCGAAAUUAGCACCACUACACCACCUAUAACUUCUACCUCUACCGUAACACCAAGUAACACACAAACUACUAUUAUGUCUAAAGCAGAACCCACAACUAUUCCUUCGACUAUACCUUUAGAAACCUCAAACACCUCGUCUCUUCCUUUCAGCACAGAACAAAGUAGUACUACUUCAACUUCCACUUUACCUUCUACUACUGUCUUGAAUUCUAACACCGUUACUUUACCUCAAGAUAGUAUUAAUGCCAGCACAUUGGAUCUAGAAAGCACAAAAUUAACUGCCACUGAAAGUAGUACCAAUACUCUAAGCACAAGUGACUCUAGCACGGCUGAACCUGAUUUGGUGGUAGUAGAAUCUAUUACUGUUCUUAGUACUACUAUGGGAAGUAAUAGUGUCCCUCCGACGUUCCCAACGCUAUCUGAAAUCUUGAACGACAAAACUUUAGAGGCUUUCAAUGAGAUUGUUAGUAAUAGCGACCAAGUAAACACGAAUAUUUCUAACCAGACUGACAAUGGUCGGGUGAGCAAGUAUAUUAAAGUACUGAACAUUCAAGACUUGAUAAAAGGUAGAAACAGUGAAGCGCGUUCAAGAGGGAAACCGAUUUCAAUCAAGGUUGGCACAACUAUACCAAUUUCUAAUGAAAUUGUAAGCACCGAGUCUUCUUCUACAAUAAAAAGUACAAUGUCUACAGAACAAGCCAUAAGCACCACCACCAACACUGUCACAUCAACUACAAGCACUCCUGAGGUUACUCCAUUAAAGUCAGAAGAAACUUCUACCGAAGACAACGCAAUCCUAUCAAACAAAAUCUUGGAUGAUACAACAUUGCCUGCAAAACCGACUCCAUUUUCAGCAAUUCAAAAAAUAGGCACAACAAGAAAACUAACACCUACCACCAUUACUCCUAUAUUUAUAAGUACGACUCCGUCAGUCUUUCCAACAUUUUUAACGACGUUCUUCCCAAAUUUGUUUCCUGACGAAGCAACUAGAAAGCCUAAAGUAUCAACGAGUUCACCAGGUGUAAUUAGAAUAUCAGCUGCUCCUUCGGUAACUCAAACUACUUUUACUGAAAGACCUGUUACAACUACACAAGCAGUUACUACAACUAGACCUACCACAACUACUACAACUACUACCACAACAACCAAUGCACCAACUACCACUACCAGACCACCCACGACAACGAAAAUAGUAACCACGACUACUCCAGCAACUACAAUUACUACUCCAUCAACAACACCAAAACCAACUACAACUACUACCAUUCCUACAACACCACAACCAACUACGACUACAAGGAUGACCACUUCCCCAACACGAGUUACUCUUGGUGAAACAGUUACGGUUUCUACGACAGGAAGAACUGAUGCAAUUACUGAUUUUAAUACUAUAGAAGUUACCACCACCGCCAUUAAGCUUAAAGGAUUGUCAUCAGAACAAAAAAAUAAUCUUAGAGAGAUAGCGCAACUAGAGAAGGAACAAGCAGCAUUGUUACAGCAGUUGUCAUUUUUAACGAAUCUGGGUUUGGGUCAAAAUAGAGGACCAAAGUCAGUAGCUAACGACAAAACCAAAAAUUCAAACGCCAAUCCUGCUUCCAGUUUAGCAGAAAGGAUUCUUGCUUUAGCAGUUCAAAGAGAUAAAAAUUCAAAAUCUACGUCAACAGUUGCUACAACUGUUACAACCAGUUCUACUACUAAGCUUCCUACCUCAAUACAGGAUCAAAUAGCAGCCCUGGAAACUACAAAAGCACCUACAAAAGCAACACCUGUUUUAGAAGAAGUUCUAAAGCAGUAUAAUUUGAAUGGUCUAAAUGUUGCUGUAACUUCACCAACGUCAACUGUUUAUGGAAAGUCUGAAGAUGCAAUAUUGGCUUCACUUUUAAAAGAACAAGGAAUUGUACCAUCGACACCAGCAGUGUUAGCAGGCGUUUUUGACGAAACUACCAUUAGACCCCGACGACCCAAAGCCACCACUCCUCAACCUGGACCAAUAAUGCGAGGUUUAAAUUGGUUACUCAAUACUCUUGCACCAACACCGGCUCCCGCAACAAAAAGACCUACACCCAAACCUGUGAAACCAAAUAAACCACCUGUAGAAGAAGAACUUUUGGUUAAUUCCCCAACUCACAUGACUCCUAUCGCCACAGCUGCUCCUUCUAAAAUUGCUAACGCGCUCAGUCAAGAGGAUAUUAAGAAACUGAUCAAUCAACUAGAAGCAUUUCUCCUUUAAUCUUCUCAUUCCUUCCACAAAAUAUAUUUUUCAAUUUACCUUCAUCUCACUUCCUUCUUGCUUAUUUUCCUUCCAUUAUACCCACUCUCCUUUAAUUUAUUUUUGUUUGUUUUAUUGUUAUUUUUAUCAGUUUUCCUAUUUUUGCUAUAAAUAAUAUUAUAUAGUUGUUAGAUAAAUAUAUAAAUAACCAUAAUGUUGGAAUUUGUUUUUAAAUAAAUUUGUAUAUUUUUUUUUGAUAUAGGGAUAUUAUAAAUUGUUAGGUAAAAAAUAUAUAAUUAUAACAAAUAUUGCAAGUUAAAAUAUAAAAUAUAAAAUUCCGAAAAUUAAUUUUUAUACUUCACAAAUUAUGUAAUAGAGUUUUACAUUUCUAAAAGAUUAAUUUAAAUCAAAAUAUACGUUGAAAUAAUUUUUGUUUCUACACUGUUUUGUUCACGUAUUCAUUGUUAAUUAUUCCUGUCCACAUCCCAUCCAGUACCAUUUAUUUUUCCAUGGACCAUUUUCAUAAAACUACAUACAGAAGAAUCCAUCUAAAGGAACAUUGGAUUUAUCACAAAUCAAAAGCAUUCAAAACCUAAUUAAUUUAGACGGAGGUGUUGUCGUGAGCACCAACGGUGAACAUGGUACCACAUCGAGAAUAACAACUACACAAUCUACAAC